RNAcentral lists this small RNA (31 nucleotides) under Bombyx mori (domestic silkworm). RNAcentral describes it as "ovarian small RNA-11550". Lineage: Eukaryota; Metazoa; Arthropoda; Insecta; Lepidoptera; Bombycidae. The record is from RNAcentral.
ACGGACUCGUUAUUGUGCCGCCCGGCACUGG